CAGCAGUGGGGAAUAUUGCGCAAUGGGGGAAACCCUGACGCAGCAACGCCGCGUGCGGGAUGAAGGCCUUCGGGUUGUAAACCGCUUUCAGCAGGGAAGACAUCGACGGUACCUGCAGAAGAAGCCCCGGCUAACUACGUGCCAGCAGCCGCGGUAAUACGUAGGGGGCGAGCGUUAUCCGGAUUCAUUGGGCGUAAAGCGCGCGCAGGCGGUUGCUCAAGCGGAACCUCUAAUCUCGGGGCUUAACCUCGAGCCGGGUUCCGAACUGGACGACUCGAGUGCGGUAGAGGCAGAUGGAAUUCCCGGUGUAGCGGUGGAAUGCGCAGAUAUCGGGAAGAACACCAACGGCGAAGGCAGUCUGCUGGGCCGUCACUGACGCUGAGGCGCGAAAGCUGGGGGAGCGAACAGGAUUAGA
Molecule: ribosomal RNA, 415 nt
Filed under: uncultured Coriobacteriaceae bacterium
Lineage: Bacteria; Bacillati; Actinomycetota; Coriobacteriia; Coriobacteriales; Coriobacteriaceae
Description: bacterial SSU rRNA
Rfam family: Bacterial small subunit ribosomal RNA
Source: RNAcentral